CAUGGACCUCACCAUGGGUGAGGUCCUUAAAGGGGACAUGCAUAUGCGCACCAGCGUGCCUUCUGUCCCUGUCUUACUGUCCCCAUUUAUUUGUAUUUACUUCCUUUGUUCCUGUUUAUGUUCAUACUUAUACUUGUUAUCUUAUUUAUUAAUUAUUAAAA
Notechis scutatus (mainland tiger snake) is the source of this 161-nucleotide non-coding RNA. Lineage: Eukaryota; Metazoa; Chordata; Lepidosauria; Squamata; Elapidae. The record is from RefSeq and is a predicted model, not a curated record.